CGCACCAACCUACUAUCCCACUGCCAACAACCCUCCCAAGUGCAUACUCCACCAUAGCUUCCUUCUUCUUCAAACAAUACCAAAAGAAAAUUCAAGAACAUGGAACAAAUACAGAACCAAAACCACCAAAACUUAAGCCAGUUCUCGAGGUACCAGUUUCUAAAGAAAAUAACCCAAUUGUUGCUUUCAGUUUCAGUGUUUUCUUUGCUAUUGUCUAACUACUCUCGCCUUUCUUUUCUCUGUUCUUUCAACUUCUACUUCUCCUCUGUCCCUGUCCAGCUCUUUAGCCACACCAUAGAUAAGAACUGCAUAUUCCUCCUCUGUAAUGGUCUUCUAGUUUUCGUUGCUAAAUUCUCUGGUUUGGUUUGUUCUUCAUCCUCAACGUAUAACAACCGUAGUAGCAUUGAGUCUGUUAAUAACUAUGAAGAUGAUGCAGGCCCAUUAGUAUUGGACCAGUACUCGAAAGUGUCAUUGCUAGAGAAGGAAGAUUUGAUGGCUCAAGAAAAUGUUGCUGGGGAGGACGAAGGAAAAGAAAAUGAUGAGUAUAUCACUGGAGAAGUGGGAAAGAAAGAAACACAGCAGUUCAUUUUAGAAGAUGAACCAGACGAAGGAGAAAGUGGCUUCUCGAUUACUGCAGGAAAUAAAGAAGGUAGUCAAGUUCUCGUCGAAGAGGAUGAUGAUCAUCAAGAAGAGGUUAUCAAAGAGUUCGAUGACAAGUUUCCUGUUCAAGAAGAAGAAGAAGAAGAAGAA
Molecule: unclassified non-coding RNA, 750 nt
Filed under: Hevea brasiliensis (rubber tree)
Lineage: Eukaryota; Viridiplantae; Streptophyta; Magnoliopsida; Malpighiales; Euphorbiaceae
Source: RNAcentral